UGGAGGAUAGUGCACUUGAGGCUGGAAUGGACGGAGAGGCUUUAAAGGAGGGUGAGAAGUGUGGCUGCCCUUCCCAAGGAGGCAGAGUGGAUAUGGGGCAUGCAGGAAACCACCACCUGUGACCGCCUCAUUCACUGCCCAGCUCUGAAGGAUUCAAGCACCGGGUCCACACCGAGCAGAGCUCCAGCUUCAAAUCCAGUGAGGCUCAGCUCCUUGCGACUCCCAGCAGGAGCAGCAGGGCUGCUCUGCCAUUCUGACCUCUUGUUAAUUAGGGGCUCAUUAGCAUGCAUCCAGAAGAACUUCAGCCCUGGCACGUGCAUAUCAUGGCUGCUCCACCAAAACUGAGCUAUCCAUCAGCCUGCAGGGGGGACUUAGCCUGAGCAGAGGGCACAGUGCAAACCCAUUCCCCACUAACGGCACUACACUGUGUUUUUUGGGGAGCUCUGCUGCUACCUCUCUGGAUCAACACUCUGCUGGGAGCACCAAGCAAGGAGAUGC
RNAcentral lists this long non-coding RNA (498 nucleotides) under Gallus gallus (chicken). Its description in RNAcentral is "lncRNA (ENSGALG00010017902.1)". The record is from RNAcentral. Lineage: Eukaryota; Metazoa; Chordata; Aves; Galliformes; Phasianidae.